UACGAAGGGGGCUAGCGUUGUUCGGAAUUACUGGGCGUAAAGCGCACGUAGGCGGGUCGUUAAGUCAGGGGUGAAAUCCCGGAGCUCAACUCCGGAACUGCCUUUGAUACUGGCGAUCUCGAGAUCGGAAGAGGUGAGUGGAAUUCCCAGUGUAGAGGUGAAAUUCGUAGAUAUUGGGAAGAACACCGGUGGCGAAGGCGGCUCACUGGUCCGAUACUGACGCUGAGGUGCGAAAGCGUGGGGAGCAAACGGG
This 253-nucleotide ribosomal RNA is filed under the name uncultured bacterium. RNAcentral describes it as "partial 16S ribosomal RNA". It matches the Rfam family "Bacterial small subunit ribosomal RNA", at positions 524 to 776 of the family's 1533-position model. The record is from RNAcentral.